GGGAGGAUGGAAAAGUGCAUUCGGGGUGGGGAGAGGAGAGGGGCACUUCCUUCACUCUCUUCAAAGGCUGCAGCAGCAGCGUAAUGAAUGAUCUAGUCAACUACAGAUGCAUUUUUGACAGCCUCGAUCCAUGCACCAUUUCUUGGAGCUUCCUUACAUAAGAAGAACUGAAGUUCCUAGAAGCCGAUGAAAUGUAGAUCCAAAAAUCAAUAAAUGGGGGAGCCUCCACUGGAUUUCAGUCACUGUUGCUCAAACAAUAAACUCUUCACAGCUCAUGAUGAUCCUAGGUUGACUUGAAGUCAGGGCUGCAAAGUGCCACUGAUGUGAAUGGAAACUUGGAGAAGGAUUCCAAACUUCAAAGACUUCUAGACUAACACCAUUCAACAGGAGGCCUGGUCCAAGUGUAUCAUUUUUGAAUGAUUCCUCUGUUAUUAGUUAAAUAAAUACAGUGCAAUCUUUGAA
Long non-coding RNA from Hemicordylus capensis (graceful crag lizard), 462 nucleotides. RefSeq lists it as uncharacterized. The transcript is spliced from 2 exons. The record is from RefSeq and is a predicted model, not a curated record. Lineage: Eukaryota; Metazoa; Chordata; Lepidosauria; Squamata; Cordylidae.